GGGGGUGUACUGGAUUCGACAUUUGUCUUGAAGCGGUAUAAGCACGUCGUAGGCUCGGCUACGUAAAAACGGAACCUAAAAUUAAACGCAAACAAUAACGAAAUGAGACCUCAACGUCUCGC
RNAcentral lists this transfer-messenger RNA (122 nucleotides) under Clostridia bacterium. RNAcentral describes it as "partial transfer-messenger RNA". It matches the Rfam family "transfer-messenger RNA", at positions 1 to 115 of the family's 374-position model. From Rfam's summary of the family: Bacterial tmRNA, also known as 10Sa RNA or SsrA, is named for its dual tRNA and mRNA-like properties. Its role is to liberate the mRNA from a stalled ribosome. Lineage: Bacteria; Bacillati; Bacillota; Clostridia. The record is from RNAcentral.